Molecule: RNA transcript, 5035 nt
Organism: Nerophis ophidion (straightnose pipefish)
Lineage: Eukaryota; Metazoa; Chordata; Actinopteri; Syngnathiformes; Syngnathidae
Gene: arhgef12b
Gene name: Rho guanine nucleotide exchange factor (GEF) 12b
Exons: 37
Source: RefSeq, a predicted model, not a curated record
UCGAUCCUCCCAGCCCUGUCCGUAGCGAGAGGAAGAAGGCAGAAGAGGCAAAGCAUUUCCUUUCCCAUUGGCAUGAAAGAUAAGUUGGAACAUUGAAAACAAAUGGAUGACAAAGCAAAGAGGAAGAAAGUGAUGAUGCCGAUUACCAAACUCGAGGCUGCGACCCGAGGAUAACUUUUUUUGAUUGGACAUUGUUCUUGAUAUCACGGUGUCAUGACGGAACUUUUUUCCCACGGGGGAUAAAAGAGAUACACCCGUCUCGGAGUUGUGAGACAAAGUACAAUUCGGGAGGGUUUUUUUUUAUAUUCCCCACGUCACGGGUUCAAAUAUAGGCUGGAAAAAUGGAAUAAGUUCUGAGGGGAAAAAAGAGCAAUUCCACAAAGGAGCGGCAGUUGUUUUUUUUUUUAAACAGGAAACACUCCCAGAAAAGAAUAACGGAUUUUAAACGUGUUUUGGGUGGACUCACCUACCCACGAGACUUGGGCUUGGAAUAACACUCCAUAAAAGAGGACAAAAAAACGGCCCAAUGAAAAUGUUAACCGGGUGAAGAAGUUGGACAAAUCGCCAGAAGCCCAAUGAGUGGGACGCAGUCAACACUCACUGAUAGGACCCCAAGCAUUCUCAACAAGGAGCCGACAGAGAGGAAGCCAAAGAAUGACAAAUCCUCUGUCUCGCUCAAACAUGAGUUUGACCCCACCGGCCUCGUCCAGCGAUGUGUGAUAAUCCAGAGAGAUGAAAAUGGAUUUGGCCUGACAGUAAGUGGAGACAAUCCUGUGUUUGUGCAGCUGGUCAAAGAAGAUGGAGCUGCAAUGCGAGCGGGCGUCCAGACAGGAGAUAGAAUCAUUAAGGUUAACGGGACCUUAGUCACUCAAUCAAACCACAUUGAAGUUGUUAAGCUUAUAAAGUCCGGCUCCUACGUAGCCCUGACAGUGCUGGGCAGACCUCCAGGUCUUCCUCAGAUCCACCUGGAGGAGCACGAGGACAAAGAGGAGAAGCAUGAGGAGGGCAAGGGAGAGGAGGAGGAUCAAAUGCAGAACUCACCUGGCGGGGAGCAAUGUGGCAGCAGCCCUGAGGCACACCCUGCCUCCCCCUUGUCUGAUGGGGAUGGAUCCACAGUUUCUUGGAAAACUGAGGUUGAAGAGGGCGAUUAUGCCGUCUCUUUGUUUGGAGACAUGGCUAACGAAGGGCCUCGUACCAACAACACAUUGUUGAGCGGCAGCGGUGGCCGAGGCUUCAUCCCUCCAGAUACAGGACAAACGCCCCAUCAGAGUCCUGAUGUCAGCCGCCGAGAUGGCCUCAACUCCUGCUCAUCGGCCAACACCGAGGACAUCCAUAAGAAUGACACCAGUGCCCAGUGCAUUGUGGGCUGCCCUCCAUACCUCAUCCACCCUCAAAUUAUCGGAGCAGAAGAUGACUACUUUGACUCGCAGCAGGAGCAGAUUAACGGCCAGUGCAGCUGUUUCCAGAGCAUCGACUUGCUGAAGGGUCGGCCUGCUCACCUCGCCGUCUUCCUCCAUCACGUCGUCUCCCAGUUCGACCCCGCCCCUCUGCUGUGUUUUCUCUACGCCGACAUACACAAGCAAACAACCGCCAAAGAAAGUCGUCGCUUCUUCAUGGAAUUCCACUCCCUCUUCAUGGAUCGCACAGCUAACCUUAAAGUCCCAGUUCCAGACACAGUCGCGGCCGAACUUGAGAAACGCAGGCUGGAGUUAAUUCCGGAGGAAGUUUGCAAACAACACACACAAACCUUACAGGACUCACUGCUGACAGAUCUACACAAGAACCUGGACGACUUCAGACAGAAACGCAGCAUGGGACUGACCCUGGCUGAGGACGAGCUAUCCAAGCUUGACUCAGACGACGGAGGAAAAGAUCCGCUGGUCUGGGAGAGGGAAUGCUCCUGUGCGGAACACAUUCUCUCCAAGAUUGAGGACAUCCUAUUCACGUCGCAGCCCUCAGAAGAGGAAAAGUGCCAAACAAUGCAGUAUGUCAUUCUCACCUAUAUGAAGCACCUCGGGGUGAAAGUGAAGGAACCUCGUGGCCUGGAGCAGAAACGAGCGCGCAUCAAUUUCCUGCCCAAGAUUAAGGUGUGUGUUUUUAACCAACAGAAAAGCAUCAAGCAAGAGAAGGAAGGUGAAGAGAAGGUGAAAAAGCCUAGAUUUCCCAACAUCCUUGUCCCUCCCCGCCGUCUCAGCAGAGUAGACUCUACUUCGGUUGGCAAGGCUGUGGAGGUGAACAAGCAGCGUUCCCCAAAGCUGCUCCCUCAGGCGGCUUUUGGCAUCCCUGAGCCUCCAGACUUGUCCCCGUCAAAUUCCGGACGUGUCCGUGGGAAUCAGCUCAGCGAGGGAUCGGACACCGGCAGCCACGUUUUUCCUUUGAACUCCUCGUCCACGCACAGUUCACCCACCGCUUUGACUUCAGACACCAGUGGACAAGACUCUGACACCAACUUAUCACCGUUCUCCAUUCAGCCCCGACUGGGCGAGGUUCUGGCAUCCGGCGAGCACCAGGAUGGCGUCUCCAGCCCAACAAGCACUCAGUUCGACUUCAGCCCUUCAAACCUGGAACACUUACAGGAGGAAGGAGACCAAGACUCUUUCAGGAUGGAGGUGCAGUGCACGUCGAGUGCGGCUGACGUCCAGAGCGAGGACGACCAGGUGUGUGAGGCGGAGAGCGAGGAGGAUCCUCUAAACUGGCAAAGCCUGGUGAGCCGCGACGUGCUGGCGGGCUUGACACCGCAGGAGAUCAAGAGACAAGAGGUCAUCAACGAGCUGUUUUACACCGAACGAGCCCACCUGCGCAUGCUCAAAGUGCUGGACAGCGUUUUCUACCAAAGGCUGAGCAGAGACGCCAUUCUGCCUUCGGAGGACAUCAAGAGCCUCUUCAGUAACCUGGAGGAGAUCAUCCAGCUGCACGUUUCUUUAACAGAACAAAUGGCAGCGAUUAGAAAAAGGAGUGAGACCUCUGUCAUUGGUCAGAUCGGAGAGGAUCUCUUGGCUUGGUUCAGUGGUGAGGAAGAGGAGAAGAUAAACAGAGCGGUUGCCACAUUCUGCAGCAACCAGCCAUCCGCCCUGGAGCUCAUCAAGACCAAGAAGAAGAAAGACCAGCGGUUUACCUUGUUCAUGCGGGAGGCCGAGAGAAACCGCCUGUGUCGCCGGUUGCAGCUGAAAGACAUCAUUCCUGUGGAGAUGCAGCGAGCAACCAAGUACCCGCUUCUGUUGGAGAAGAUCGCCAAGUACACGGAGGAUGACGAGGAGGACGCUGAAAAGGUGAAGAAAGCCGUGGAAUGCUGCAAGCAGAUUCUCAACCAUGUCAACCAAGCCGUCAAAGAGGCCGAGAACAAGCAGAGGCUGGUGGAUUAUCAGAGAAGGUUGGACAUCUCGUCACUGAAACCCAACGAGAACCCGCUCAUCCUGGAGCUGAGGAACCUGGACCUCACUAAGAGGACGAUGGUCCAUGAAGGACCACUCUCCUGGAAGGUCAACAAGGACAAAAGAAUUGAUCUUUACACGCUGCUCCUGGAGGACAUUCUGGUUCUACUCCAGAAACAGGACGAGCGUUUGGUGCUCAAGUUCCACAGCAAGAACGUGGCGAGCGCCGCAGACACCAAACUCGCCUUCAGCCCCGUCAUCAAACUCAACACCGUGCUGGUCCGGCCCGUCGCCACAAACAACAAGUCCUUUUUCGUGCUCUCCAUGUCGGACAACGGGGCUCAGAUCUACGAGCUGACGGCUCAGAGCGUGUCCGACCAGAGAACUUGGCAGUGUCUGAUCACGCAGUGCGCCGACGCAAUGAAGGCCAAAUCGCACAGCAGCGACACAACUUCGACUCCAUCUGAAGGGGUGCAGGAAGCCAUCGAGAUCAUCAACAGUGGGAUGGAGAAGCCGAGCAAAGAUGGCAACGACCCCUCAGAGUCUUCAGACAUUCAGGCGGCUCCCACAACCCCCAGCAGUCCCUUCGACGGCACUAAGUUCGAGGACGAGGAGGAGGCGGAAGUGGAGGCGGAAGUGGAGGCGGAAGUGGAGGUGGAAGUGGAGGCGGAAGUGGAGGCGGAGGAGCCGUCUGCGGCGGAAACACGCGAAGAAGAGGAAGAAGACGGCGAGGUGGACGAGGAGGAGCUGGAGGCCUUCCUAGAUGGUCAGCUGGGCGACAAAUUGCCCUUCCUGCAGGAGGGUUGUCGUCAAGGCAUCGCCAUAGAGAGCGGCGAGGGCGAAAUGUUCGUGUCGCAACCCUCCAAGGCUGAAGAAGCUCUGAGAACAUUGGUGACGCUGAAGCAUUUUCUUUUCAACCACAUGAUGGCCAGCGAGGUGGCGGGGGGGAACGGCGAAGGCCGUAAUUGUCACAUGACCACACCUCCCGACACCCCUGAAGGUCCAAUAGCUGGGUGUACAGUGGGCGGAGCUUGUGAAAGCUCAGAAAAAGACGACAUUCAAACUGAACGCAACGGUGACUUCCUGGUUCUGGAUCCAGGCGGGGCCUCCGAAGACGACGACGGCGGAGACGCGGGGAUCGACAUGAGCAAGCUUCUGUCCUCGUCCUCACAGAUGGAGGGCGGCGGGCCCAACCUCAGCCGCCAGCUCAUGACGCACCUGCGCCUCCUGCAGGCCGACCUGCAGUACCUCAAGGAAGUGGAGCUGAAGUACAACCAGCUGCAAGGGACACAUUCUGACACGCCAACUAAUUUAGAUAAUGACGGGAUUCAGUGACGGCAGUCUUCCUGUUAUCUCUAAAAGGACUUGAAAGCAUCACGUAAAAAACACUGAAGAUUGUUGUUUAUUCUUCCGAUGACACUGGAUAUACGGCGGGGGUCACAGGCAUUACUCCCAUGGGACUUAAAUGGAGCCUCGAUAACCUGCCAUGUGGACAUCUUCUUAUUGUUACCCAGGACACGUUGAGGAGUAUGUCUUCCGCCUGGCAUGGGAACGCCUCGGGAUCCCCCGGGAUGAGCUGGAUGAAGUGGCAGGGGAGAGGGAAGUCAGGCUGCUGUCCCCACGACCCGACCUCGGAUAGGCGGAGGAAGAUGGAUGGAUGGAUG